UUUUUUUCUUUUCUUAUUUUCUUCUUUAUUUUUGCAUAUUUUUUCUUUUUUUCUUUCUCCUCAACCACUGUUUUUUCCUUAAUGUCAUCUUUGUCCCCCUCACUCAACUUUUCUUUUUUUUCUUCCUCUAUCUUUUCCUCCUCUAUCUUCUCUUCCUUUCUCUCCAUUUUCCCCAAUUUUUUUCUCCUCUAUCUUUUCCUCAUCAACAACCUUAUCAAUUUGUGUCUCCAAAUUCCUAAAGGUAACUGCAUAGCUCUUGGAAUCGUACUUCUCCAAAAAUUUAUCGAACUUCUCAUUAAGGCUUUUAACUUGUUCC
This 316-nucleotide long non-coding RNA is filed under the name Vigna radiata. RNAcentral's name for it is "long non-coding RNA (VRAD_LNC000972)". Lineage: Eukaryota; Viridiplantae; Streptophyta; Magnoliopsida; Fabales; Fabaceae. The record is from RNAcentral.